Molecule: small nuclear RNA, 101 nt
Filed under: Notamacropus eugenii (tammar wallaby)
Lineage: Eukaryota; Metazoa; Chordata; Mammalia; Diprotodontia; Macropodidae
Source: RNAcentral
GUGGACUGAACACAUAUGUUAAAAUUGGAAUUGUACAGUGAAAAUUAGCAUGUGUACUGCACAAUGAUAGCACAAAAAUUCAUGAAGCAUUCCAUAUUUUU